This 214-nucleotide ribosomal RNA is filed under the name uncultured bacterium. RNAcentral's name for it is "partial 16S ribosomal RNA". It matches the Rfam family "Bacterial small subunit ribosomal RNA", at positions 524 to 737 of the family's 1533-position model. The record is from RNAcentral.
UACGAAGGGGGCGAGCGUUGUUCGGAAUUACUGGGCGUAAAGGGCGCGUAGGCGGUUCGUACAGUCAGACGUGAAAUUCCUGGGCUCAACCUGGGGGCUGCGUUUGAUACGUGCGGACUUGAGUGCGGAAGAGGGUCGUGGAAUUCCCAGUGUAGAGGUGAAAUUCGUAGAUAUUGGGAAGAACACCGGUGGCAGAAGGGUCGGGUUGGCUGGG